AUACGGAGGAUCCGAGCGUUAUCCGGAUUUAUUGGGCGUAAAGCGAGCGCAGGCGGUUUCUUAAGUCUGAUGUGAAAGCCCCCGGCUCAACCGGGGAGGGGCAUUGGAAACUGGGGGACUUGAGUGCAGAAGAGGAGAGUGGAAUUCCAUGUGUAGCGGUGAAAUGCGUAGAUAUAUGGAGGAACACCAGUGGCGAAGGCGGCUCUCUGGUCUGUAACUGACGCUGAGGCUCGAAAGCGUGGGGAGCAAACAGGAUUAGAUACCCUGGUAGUCCACGCCGUAAACGAUGAGUGCUAAGUGUUGGAGGGUUUCCGCCCUUCAGUGCUGCAGCUAACGCAUUAAGCACUCCGCCUGGGGAGUACGGCCGCAAGGCUGAAACUCAAAGGAAUCGACGGGG
Molecule: ribosomal RNA, 397 nt
Filed under: uncultured bacterium
Lineage: Bacteria
Description: partial 16S ribosomal RNA
Rfam family: Bacterial small subunit ribosomal RNA
Source: RNAcentral